ACUAAAAUAAAGCCUUGGAUGCGUCAC
RNAcentral lists this non-coding RNA (27 nucleotides) under Mus musculus (house mouse). Lineage: Eukaryota; Metazoa; Chordata; Mammalia; Rodentia; Muridae. The record is from RNAcentral.